CUAAUUAGUUUAAUGAAUAUCAAAUUGUGAUUUUGAAGGUUUAUAUUAGGUA
This 52-nucleotide transfer RNA is filed under the name Sperchon plumifer. RNAcentral's name for it is "tRNA-His". The record is from RNAcentral. Lineage: Eukaryota; Metazoa; Arthropoda; Arachnida; Trombidiformes; Sperchontidae.